RNAcentral lists this long non-coding RNA (560 nucleotides) under Homo sapiens (human). RNAcentral describes it as "non-protein coding lnc-GNB1L-1:1". Lineage: Eukaryota; Metazoa; Chordata; Mammalia; Primates; Hominidae. The record is from RNAcentral.
GUACCUGCUUGUCCUCUGCGGGGUCGGGGUCGGGGUCGAGUCCGGGUCCGGUUCCGAGCGGGUCCGGGCCGGCGGGCGGGGGAGAGACGGAGAGACACGAAAAAUGUAAGGGGGUCACUGCACAAAUCAGUCCUCAUCACCGAUGGGAAGACAUGCCCAUUAGAAGAGCACAGAACCCACAGCAGCUGUCUCUGCCUGGAGGGUGCGGCCUGGUCCUGCUUAAAGCCGCCUAUGUCUUGCAGCGGUGGACAGAAUAGGGCUUCAAGGGGGCUGAGUCUCAGUCCACACCAAGUCCCCGAUUCCCUGGGCAGCUGGAGUGAGUGCUACAAAGGGCGCCUGUGCUCCACGGCAGGGAGCCAGCCUGGAUCCAGAGCUGAGGGUCUGAGGGAGGUGGGUCUGCAGCCACAUCUGAUGGGCCUUCAGAGUCCCCUGAAGGAUCUGGGACGGCGCCUGCAAGAUAACACAGAGAGCAGCCCAGGGUAGGGACCAGGCGUGCAGUGUGACUCAGCUGGGAAGAGCUCCCCACGGUAGGGGGCGGAGGGGAACCCUCCACAGGGAUG